RNAcentral lists this ribosomal RNA (395 nucleotides) under Draco beccarii. RNAcentral describes it as "partial small subunit ribosomal RNA". It matches the Rfam family "Bacterial small subunit ribosomal RNA", at positions 769 to 1403 of the family's 1533-position model. The record is from RNAcentral. Lineage: Eukaryota; Metazoa; Chordata; Lepidosauria; Squamata; Agamidae.
AAACUGGGAUUAGAUACCCCACUAUGCCUGACUGUAAAUUACCAGCCAAAAAAGUAUGAGCCCCGCUUAAAACUUAAAGGACCUGGCGGUACUCUAUAUCAACCUAGAGGGGCCUGUCCUAUAACCGAUAAUCCACGAAAAACCUUACCACUCCUUGCCUCCAGCCUAUAUACCGCCGUCUUCAGCACAUUUCCCAAAAAAUGAAGCUAAAUAGUCCCACACACUAGCACGUCAGGUCAAGGUGUAGCUAAUGGAGCGGAAGAGGCGGACCACAAUACCACAACACACGGAAACCCCAUUGAAACAUGAGGAAAAAGAUGAAUUUAGCAGUAAGUGGGGCCGAACACCCCACUGAACCACCCGCCCUAGAGUACGCACACACCGCCCGUCACCCU